GACGAACGCUGGCGGCGUGCUUAACACAUGCAAGUCGAACGGAAAGGCCCUGCUUUUGUGGGGUGCUCGAGUGGCGAACGGGUGAGUAACACGUGAGUAACCUGCCCUUGACUUUGGGAUAACUUCAGGAAACUGGGGCUAAUACCGGAUAGGAGCUCCUGCUGCAUGUUGGGGGUUGGAAAGUUUCGGCGGUUGGGGAUGGACUCGCGGCUUAUCAGCUUGUUGGUGGGGUAGUGGCUUACCAAGGCUUUGACGGGUAGCCGGCCUGAGAGGGUGACCGGCAACAAGGGGACUGAGGUACGCACCAGAAGCGAACGGGAGGCAGCGGGGGGGAGUAUUGCAGAAUGGGCGGAAGCCUGAGGCAGCAACGCCGGGUGCGGGAUGACGGCCUUCGGGUGGAAAACCGCUUUCGACGGUGACGAAGCGGGAGUGACGGUAAUGGGUAAAGAAGCACCGGCUAACUACGUG
RNAcentral lists this ribosomal RNA (468 nucleotides) under uncultured bacterium. RNAcentral's name for it is "partial 16S ribosomal RNA". It matches the Rfam family "Bacterial small subunit ribosomal RNA", at positions 28 to 507 of the family's 1533-position model. The record is from RNAcentral.